GGUGGCUCAGUGGUAGAGCACUUGCCUUGCAAGCAUGAGGCCCUGGGUUCAAUUCCUCAGCACCA
This is a non-coding RNA of Dipodomys ordii (Ord's kangaroo rat), 65 nucleotides long. Lineage: Eukaryota; Metazoa; Chordata; Mammalia; Rodentia; Heteromyidae. The record is from Rfam.